UACGAAGGGGGCUAGCGUUGCUCGGAAUCACUGGGCGCAAAGCGCACGUAGGCGGAUCUUUAAGUCAGAGGUGAAAUCCCAAGGCUCAACCUUGGAACUGCCUUUGAUACUGGGGAUCUCGAGUCCGGAAGAGGUGAGUGGAACUGCGAGUGUAGAGGUGAAAUUCGUAGAUAUUCGCAAGAACACCAGUGGCGAAGGCGGCUCACUGGUCCGGUACUGACGCUGAGGUGCGAAAGCGUGGGGAGCAAACAGG
Molecule: ribosomal RNA, 253 nt
Filed under: uncultured bacterium
Lineage: Bacteria
Description: partial 16S ribosomal RNA
Rfam family: Bacterial small subunit ribosomal RNA
Source: RNAcentral